This 391-nucleotide ribosomal RNA is filed under the name uncultured bacterium. RNAcentral's name for it is "partial 16S ribosomal RNA". It matches the Rfam family "Bacterial small subunit ribosomal RNA", at positions 523 to 918 of the family's 1533-position model. The record is from RNAcentral.
AUACGUAGGGGGCAAGCGUUAUCCGGAAUUACUGGGCGUAAAGGGUGCGUAGGUGGCCUGACAAGUCAGGGGUCAAAGGCAACGGCUCAACCGUUGUAAGCCCUUGAAACUGUCGGGCUUGAGUUCAGGAGAGGAAAGCGGAAUUCCUAGUGUAGCGGUGAAAUGCGUAGAUAUUAGGAGGAACACCAGUGGCGAAGGCGGCUUUCUGGACUGAUACUGACACUGAGGCACGAAAGCGUGGGGAGCAAACAGGAUUAGAUACCCUGGUAGUCCACGCCGUAAACGAUGAGUACUAGGUGUCGGCCCUAAGGGUCGGUGCCGCAGUUAACACAUUAAGUACUCCGCCUGGGAAGUACGCUCGCAAGAGUGAAACUCAAAUGAAUUGACGGGG